Molecule: ribosomal RNA, 465 nt
Filed under: uncultured Klebsiella sp.
Lineage: Bacteria; Pseudomonadati; Pseudomonadota; Gammaproteobacteria; Enterobacterales; Enterobacteriaceae
Description: bacterial SSU rRNA
Rfam family: Bacterial small subunit ribosomal RNA
Source: RNAcentral
CCUACGGGAGGCAGCAGUGGGGAAUAUUGCACAAUGGGCGCAAGCCUGAUGCAGCCAUGCCGCGUGUGUGAAGAAGGCCUUCGGGUUGUAGAGCACUUCCAGCGGGGAGGAAGGCGGUGAGGUUAAUAACCUCAUCGAUUGACGUUACCCGCAGAAGAAGCACCGGCUAACUCCGUGCCAGCAGCCGCGGUAAUACGGAGGGUGCAAGCGUUAAUCGGAAUUACUGGGCGUAAAGCGCACGCAGGCGGUCUGUCAAGUCGGAUGUGAAAUCCCCGGGCUCAACCUGGGAACUGCAUUCGAAACUGGCAGGCUAGAGUCUUGUAGAGGGGGGUAGAAUUCCAGGUGUAGCGGUGAAAUGCGUAGAGAUCUGGAGGAAUACCGGUGGCGAAGGCGGCCCCCUGGACAAAGACUGACGCUCAGGUGCGAAAGCGUGGGGAGCAAACAGGAUUAGAUACCCGAGUAGUC